UACGUAGGGUGCAAGCGUUAAUCGGAAUUACUGGGCGUAAAGCGUGCGCAGGCGGCUUUGCAAGACAGAUGUGAAAUCCCCGGGCUCAACCUGGGAACUGCAUUUGUGACUGCAUGGCUAGAGUACGGUAGAGGGGGAUGGAAUUCCGCGUGUAGCAGUGAAAUGCGUAGAUAUGCGGAGGAACACCGAUGGCGAAGGCAAUCCCCUGGGCCUGUACUGACGCUCAUGCACGAAAGCGUGGGGAGCAAACAGG
RNAcentral lists this ribosomal RNA (253 nucleotides) under uncultured bacterium. Its description in RNAcentral is "partial 16S ribosomal RNA". It matches the Rfam family "Bacterial small subunit ribosomal RNA", at positions 524 to 776 of the family's 1533-position model. The record is from RNAcentral.